CCCCUAUUUGGCAAUUUUGGAAAUAAAGUUUUAUUUUGGCAAUUUUACUUUUUUUAAGGUUACUUUACAUGUAAAAUAAAAUAUCUAAAAGAUUUUAUGAUUUAAUCGCAGUAUUUAAUAUUAAAAUUCCAGGAAAUUAGGAUUUGGUAAAUUUAUUUAGUUUUGGUAAAGUUUGUGCCAGCAACCGCGGUUAGACAAACAAGACAAAAAAGUAUUUUUGGAUAGAGUUAGACUUCAAUAUGGACAUAAAUUUCUUAUUUUUAGGUGAAAUUUUAAUAAGAUAUUAGAACAAAGUUUAAUUUGUUGAAGCUCAGAAUACCAGAUGAUUAACUAGGAUUAGAGACCCUACUAAACUGGAUGUUAAAUCGUAUCCGGAGUAGUAAAAGAUACGGGCUUAAAACUCAAAAAUUUGGCGGUGGUUUAACCAGUCAGAGGAAUUUGCCCCGUGAUUGACAGUCCACGUUUAACUCUGCUUAAUUUUGUAGACAGCUUGUAUACCGCCGUCAGCAGGAAAUUUUUGGAAAAUAUUUCCAAGAAGCUUUUAAGCAACAUGUCAGGUCAAGGUGCAGCUAAUAAUUAAGAGGGAGGUGAAUUACAAUAAAUUAAUUUAUUACGAAUAUUUUUAUGAAAAAUGGAUAGAAGGUGGAUUUGGGUGUAAUAAUUCUAAACUAAGAAUUAUGAUAUGGGCGCUAAACCGUGCACACAUCGCCCGUCGCUCUCGUAUAUAAAUGAGAUAAGUCGUAACAUAGUAGAUGUACCGGAAGGUGUAUCUAGAUUG
Molecule: non-coding RNA, 778 nt
Filed under: Serratella sp. Yunnan-2018
Lineage: Eukaryota; Metazoa; Arthropoda; Insecta; Ephemeroptera; Ephemerellidae
Source: RNAcentral